UUUGAUCAUGGCUCAGAUUGAACGCUGGCGGCAGGCCUAACACAUGCAAGUCGAGCGGAAACGACAACAUUGKCUUCGGGUGAUUUGUUGGGCGUCGAGCGGCGGACGGGUGAGUAAUGCCUGGGAAAUUGCCCUGAUGUGGGGGAUAACCAUUGGAAACGAUGGCUAAUACCGCAUGAUGCUACGGGCCAAAGAGGGGGACUUCGGGCCUCUCGCGUCAGGAUAUGCCCAGGUGGGAUUAGCUAGUUGGUGAGGUAAUGGCUCACCAAGGCGACGAUCCCUAGCUGGUCUGAGAGGAUGAUCAGCCACACUGGAACUGAGACACGGUCCAGACUCUACGGGAGGCAGCAGUGGGGAAUAUUGCACAAUGGGCGCAAGCCUGAUGCAGCCAUGCCGCGUGUAUGAAGAAGGCUUCGGGUUGUAAAGUAUCUUUCAGUGCGUGAGGAAGGGGGUAUCGUUAAUAGCGGUAUUCUUUGACGUUAGCGAGCAGAAGAAGCACCGGCCUAACUCCGUGCCAGACAGCCGCGGUAAUAUCGGAGGGUGCGAGCGUUAAUCGGAAUUACUGGGCGUAAAGCGCAUGCAGGUGGUUCGUUAAGUCAGAUGUGAAAGCCCGGGGCUCAACCUCGAAUAGCAUUUGAAACUGGCGGAACUAGAGUACUGUAGAGGGGGGUAGAAUUUCAGGUGUAGCGGUGAAAUGCGUAGAGAUCUGAAGGAAUACCAGUGCGAAGGCCGGCCCCCUGGACAGAUACUGACANUCAGAU
This 761-nucleotide ribosomal RNA is filed under the name gamma proteobacterium GWS-SE-H196. RNAcentral's name for it is "bacterial SSU rRNA". It matches the Rfam family "Bacterial small subunit ribosomal RNA", at positions 12 to 752 of the family's 1533-position model. The record is from RNAcentral. Lineage: Bacteria; Pseudomonadati; Pseudomonadota; Gammaproteobacteria.